This is a non-coding RNA of Bufo gargarizans (Asiatic toad), 289 nucleotides long. RefSeq annotates it as small Cajal body-specific RNA 7. Lineage: Eukaryota; Metazoa; Chordata; Amphibia; Anura; Bufonidae. The record is from RefSeq and is a predicted model, not a curated record. The transcript has a single exon.
UGGAUAUGAUGAAAUAGAGAAUUGAGGGUAUUGGUGAGAGUGUUUAUAGAGUUAUGUACAUUAUUUCUGUAAUGGUUAAUUCUGUGUGUGAGUGUGUGUAUUUAGGUUAUUACAAGGGGCCUCUGAAAUUAGAGUAUUGCUGAUUUCGGAGUGCAUCUGAGGAAUGUUGUAAGAAGAGGGGCCUUACUGCAACAAUUCCAGUGAUUAGAGCCCUACAUUAGGUCUCCUAAAUAACCUGCGUACCCUUCUCUGACAGGUUUGCAUAAGUCAGACCUGUGAUCUGAUCCAG